GGGUUGUGAGGUUAAGCGACUAAGCGUACACGGUGGAUGCCCAGGCAGUCAGAGGCGAUGAAGGACGUGCUAAUCUGCGAUAAGCGUCGGUAAGGUGAUAUGAACCGUUAUAACCGGCGAUUUCCGAAUGGGGAAACCCAGUGUGUUUCGACACACUAUCAUUAACUGAAUCCAUAGGUUAAUGAGGCGAACCGGGGGAACUGAAACAUCUAAGUACCCCGAGGAAAAGAAAUCAACCGAGAUUCCCCCAGUAGCGGCGAGCGAACGGGGAGCAGCCCAGAGCCUGAAUCAGUGUGUGUGUUAGUGGAAGCGUCUGGAAAGGCGCGCGAUACAGGGUGACAGCCCCGUACACAAAAAUGCACAUGCUGUGAGCUCGAUGAGUAGGGCGGGACACGUGGUAUCCUGUCUGAAUAUGGGGGGACCAUCCUCCAAGGCUAAAUACUCCUGACUGACCGAUAGUGAACCAGUACCGUGAGGGAAAGGCGAAAAGAACCCCGGCGAGGGGAGUGAAAAAGAACCUGAAACCGUGUACGUACAAGCAGUGGGAGCACGCUUAGGCGUGUGACUGCGUACCUUUUGUAUAAUGGGUCAGCGACUUAUAUUCUGUAGCAAGGUUAACCGAAUAGGGGAGCCGAAGGGAAACCGAGUCUUAACUGGGCGUUAAGUUGCAGGGUAUAGACCCGAAACCCGGUGAUCUAGCCAUGGGCAGGUUGAAGGUUGGGUAACACUAACUGGAGGACCGAACCGACUAAUGUUGAAAAAUUAGCGGAUGACUUGUGGCUGGGGGUGAAAGGCCAAUCAAACCGGGAGAUAGCUGGUUCUCCCCGAAAGCUAUUUAGGUAGCGCCUCGUGAAUUCAUCUCCGGGGGUAGAGCACUGUUUCGGCAAGGGGGUCAUCCCGACUUACCAACCCGAUGCAAACUGCGAAUACCGGAGAAUGUUAUCACGGGAGACACACGGCGGGUGCUAACGUCCGUCGUGAAGAGGGAAACAACCCAGACCGCCAGCUAAGGUCCCAAAGUCAUGGUUAAGUGGGAAACGAUGUGGGAAGGCCCAGACAGCCAGGAUGUUGGCUUAGAAGCAGCCAUCAUUUAAAGAAAGCGUAAUAGCUCACUGGUCGAGUCGGCCUGCGCGGAAGAUGUAACGGGGCUAAACCAUGCACCGAAGCUGCGGCAGCGACGCUGAUGCGUUGUUGGGUAGGGGAGCGUUCUGUAAGCCUGUGAAGGUGUGCUGUGAGGCAUGCUGGAGGUAUCAGAAGUGCGAAUGCUGACAUAAGUAACGAUAAAGCGGGUGAAAAGCCCGCUCGCCGGAAGACCAAGGGUUCCUGUCCAACGUUAAUCGGGGCAGGGUGAGUCGACCCCUAAGGCGAGGCCGAAAGGCGUAGUCGAUGGGAAACAGGUUAAUAUUCCUGUACUUGGUGUUACUGCGAAGGGGGGACGGAGAAGGCUAUGUUGGCCGGGCGACGGUUGUCCCGGUUUAAGCGUGUAGGCUGGUUUUCCAGGCAAAUCCGGAAAAUCAAGGCUGAGGCGUGAUGACGAGGCACUACGGUGCUGAAGCAACAAAUGCCCUGCUUCCAGGAAAAGCCUCUAAGCAUCAGGUAACAUCAAAUCGUACCCCAAACCGACACAGGUGGUCAGGUAGAGAAUACCAAGGCGCUUGAGAGAACUCGGGUGAAGGAACUAGGCAAAAUGGUGCCGUAACUUCGGGAGAAGGCACGCUGAUAUGUAGGUGAAGUCCCUCGCGGAUGGAGCUGAAAUCAGUCGAAGAUACCAGCUGGCUGCAACUGUUUAUUAAAAACACAGCACUGUGCAAACACGAAAGUGGACGUAUACGGUGUGACGCCUGCCCGGUGCCGGAAGGUUAAUUGAUGGGGUUAGCCGCAAGGCGAAGCUCUUGAUCGAAGCCCCGGUAAACGGCGGCCGUAACUAUAACGGUCCUAAGGUAGCGAAAUUCCUUGUCGGGUAAGUUCCGACCUGCACGAAUGGCGUAAUGAUGGCCAGGCUGUCUCCACCCGAGACUCAGUGAAAUUGAACUCGCUGUGAAGAUGCAGUGUACCCGCGGCAAGACGGAAAGACCCCGUGAACCUUUACUAUAGCUUGACACUGAACAUUGAGCCUUGAUGUGUAGGAUAGGUGGGAGGCUUAGAAGUGUGGACGCCAGUCUGCAUGGAGCCGACCUUGAAAUACCACCCUUUAAUGUUUGAUGUUCUAACGUUGACCCGUAAUCCGGGUUGCGGACAGUGUCUGGUGGGUAGUUUGACUGGGGCGGUCUCCUCCUAAAGAGUAACGGAGGAGCACGAAGGUUGGCUAAUCCUGGUCGGACAUCAGGAGGUUAGUGCAAUGGCAUAAGCCAGCUUGACUGCGAGCGUGACGGCGCGAGCAGGUGCGAAAGCAGGUCAUAGUGAUCCGGUGGUUCUGAAUGGAAGGGCCAUCGCUCAACGGAUAAAAGGUACUCCGGGGAUAACAGGCUGAUACCGCCCAAGAGUUCAUAUCGACGGCGGUGUUUGGCACCUCGAUGUCGGCUCAUCACAUCCUGGGGCUGAAGUAGGUCCCAAGGGUAUGGCUGUUCGCCAUUUAAAGUGGUACGCGAGCUGGGUUUAGAACGUCGUGAGACAGUUCGGUCCCUAUCUGCCGUGGGCGCUGGAGAACUGAGGGGGGCUGCUCCUAGUACGAGAGGACCGGAGUGGACGCAUCACUGGUGUUCGGGUUGUCAUGCCAAUGGCACUGCCCGGUAGCUAAAUGCGGAAGAGAUAAGUGCUGAAAGCAUCUAAGCACGAAACUUGCCCCGAGAUGAGUUCUCCCUGACUCCUUGAGAGUCCUGAAGGAACGUUGAAGACGACGACGUUGAUAGGCCGGGUGUGUAAGCGCAGCGAUGCGUUGAGCUAACCGGUACUAAUGAACCGUGAGGCUUAACCUUACAACGCCGAAGGUGUUU
RNAcentral lists this ribosomal RNA (2933 nucleotides) under Escherichia coli. RNAcentral describes it as "bacterial LSU rRNA". It matches the Rfam family "Bacterial large subunit ribosomal RNA". The record is from RNAcentral. Lineage: Bacteria; Pseudomonadati; Pseudomonadota; Gammaproteobacteria; Enterobacterales; Enterobacteriaceae.